AUACAGAGGUGGCAAGCGUUGUUCGGAUUCAUUGGGUGUAAAGGGCAGGUAGGCGGCCAAGUAAGUCCGUUGUGAAAUCCCAGGGCUCAACCCUGGAACUGCGAUGGAAACUAUUUGGCUUAAGUUCCGGAGAGGUAAGGGGAAUUCUCGGUGUAAGGGUGAAAUCUGUAGAUAUCGAGAGGAACACCAGUGGCGAAGGCGCCUUACUGGCCGGAAACAGACGCUGAACUGCGAAAGCUAGGGGAGCAAACAGGAUUAGAUACCCCAGUAGUCC
This 274-nucleotide ribosomal RNA is filed under the name uncultured bacterium. RNAcentral's name for it is "partial 16S ribosomal RNA". It matches the Rfam family "Bacterial small subunit ribosomal RNA", at positions 523 to 796 of the family's 1533-position model. The record is from RNAcentral.